Molecule: long non-coding RNA, 472 nt
Organism: Micropterus salmoides (largemouth bass)
Lineage: Eukaryota; Metazoa; Chordata; Actinopteri; Centrarchiformes; Centrarchidae
Exons: 2
Source: RefSeq, a predicted model, not a curated record
UUUUCUUGGCAAAACCAUCUGGGUCUGGCACAUGUGAUGUCACUACCUCAACUUGUGAGAAGGUGUGCAAAGACAUCUUCUCACUAGUAGCUCAGCCAGCAAGUCACCUACUCUGGAGAUCUACUGGUCCAGGGUUCAAAUCCCCACAUGAUUGAGUCAGACUUGCUGACAAUCAGGUUGUUCAGAUCAUUGGAUGACAGGCAUGAAAAUUAAACCCAGAUUGUAAUAAAGUGUGGUUUAUUUCAACACCACGUGCAACAGCUGUGGCAAACACUACACUGGUGAAAUGGCAAGGACACUGGGCUUGACUGAAUGAACACCUAAAGCAGACACAACAUCCGCUGUCUGUGAACAUCAGACCAAAACCGGUCGCAUCAUCAAUUGGGAAUGGGUCAAAGCCAUCAACCAGGGGACAGUGAGCGAGAAGCAACAAGGCAACCACACUAAAGACCAUCAUUGAACAGACCCAGAG